This is a long non-coding RNA of Parasteatoda tepidariorum (common house spider), 1087 nucleotides long. NCBI's taxonomy places the organism in Eukaryota, Metazoa, Arthropoda, Arachnida, Araneae, Theridiidae. The record is from RefSeq and is a predicted model, not a curated record.
ACGAUAAAUCCAUAUUUUUGUGUUGAUUUUUUAAUAUAGUUCUUAAUUUUUCACAAAUUAUAUCUAAAUUUUCACAAAAUAGGUACCUCUCAGAAAAACGUAAACAGACUCCUUGUAGGUGAAAAAGUUCAAUUGAAAUUUUUAUUGCUAGAUUUUUCUUUUAAACAAUUUUUGUCUUGGUUUUUACCUAGCUUUUUAUAUUUCUAAAAAACUUUGUUUUUAUUAAGUGUAUGACACAGUAAUUAAGAACGUUUCUAUUGACUUUAUUCUUAUCUAGAAAAUAUGAUAGUUGGAAAGCUGAGAUGUAAAGCUUUAAAAUUUUAUUUUGAGAAUUAAAAUAGAUUUUUCUGUUUUACAUUUGUAUAUAAUCUUCUGUUUUUGUUAGUAACACAGGAUUUUAAUAACAUAUUUCUAUAACAUAUUUAGUUAAUGUUGCUUUAUGGAUACUGCUUUGCAGAAAAUAUUAUUCUUAGCAUAGAAGCUUUGUUGUAACAAUUAUGAUAUUUUUUUUUCUUUCUAUUUUACUUUAUAACUUUAGUUUUUUUAUAAGUAUUUCUUGUUUAAUUUUUUGUAUUCCCUUUAGCCCAUUCCACUAAUAUAGAUAAGCAUGGAGUAAUUUCCAAUUAUAAAUAAACUUAUUUAUUCGUAAAAAAUAUUUAUUAAUGAAUUUUUUUUAAAAAAAAUAUUGCUAUAAAAAUAUAUUCUGCAUUUCACCAUUUUUUUUAGCUAACAGUCUACCAAACCAUUACUCCUUACCUCUCUAGUUCUGAAUAAUAAAUGUGCCCGUAUAAACGAAAGAAAAUAUGUUUGAAUAAUUUCUAUGUUUUUAAACGUAUUAACUGAAUAAAUUUUCUUUUUCAUAAUCUAUUGAUGUACUUCUGAGGAAGAUCUUUGGAAAGGAUCUGGCUUUGAGUAUGAAGCUCCAUCAAGUCUCAUUUGAAGGUUCCUGAAUUAAGUACAUUGCAGUGAAGAGGUGAUACUAACAGCAGGGUGGAAGAAGUUAUGAAUCAGAUCUGUGGCGAUGUGUUAUAAUUGUAAAUCUGUAUAUUGUAUGAUAGUUGUAAAAUAAAUAAAACUUAAUAAAUCU